GUGAAUCAUCGAAUCUUUGAACGCAAAUUGCACUUUUUGGUAUUCCAGAGAGUAUGCCUGUUUGAGGGUUAGUUUAACUAAAAAUUGGUGUGGCUGUUGCCUUUCGUGGUGACGCAUCGGAUUUGGGUCGUCUUGCCUUCGGUUAAGAGACCUAAAAUUCCGAAUGCUUUUUUUCGAAUGUAAUUUAAUGAUUUCACGUACGUU
Molecule: unclassified non-coding RNA, 204 nt
Filed under: Glomeraceae sp.
Lineage: Eukaryota; Fungi; Glomeromycota; Glomeromycetes; Glomerales; Glomeraceae
Description: partial contains 5.8S ribosomal RNA and internal transcribed spacer 2
Rfam family: 5.8S ribosomal RNA (bases 1-71)
Source: RNAcentral